Molecule: long non-coding RNA, 456 nt
Filed under: Zea mays
Lineage: Eukaryota; Viridiplantae; Streptophyta; Magnoliopsida; Poales; Poaceae
Description: long non-coding RNA (ZMAY_LNC003240)
Source: RNAcentral
UCUGCUCACUGGUUUCUCCCCACGCCAGCAGCAGCAAGCAGCCAUGGCACCUCAUUCCCCUGCUCGCCCUCCCUCUGUGCCCAGCCUCCUCUCUGUUCUUCCGUGGAGCAAUAGCCCUCCUCUAAUUCUGCAGCAGCAGCUCCCCCUUUUUUCAUUUGUUCUCCAUGAAUGAAAGCCCAAGCGCCAGCCCCCUCCCUUUCGUCAAGUGGUGAGCUCCGAAUCUUUUUAUUCUUUCCCUAGACCUUGCGUGUUAUAUUUUGAUUUCAGUUUGUUGUCCAUGUCAUGACGCUUGUGAAACUCUAUGUGUUUGUGUGUGAGAUUGGAAGAGAGUUCUAGGGAAAUCGAUGGAGAAGAAACCGUGUUUCAGUUCGACGCGCUCUAGGUGUUUGAUGGAAUGGAUGAACCGGAGAUCCUUGUUGCUCUUGCGAAAUCCGAGUCUAUUUAGUGUUGGUAAGC